This 2052-nucleotide ribosomal RNA is filed under the name Triticum aestivum (bread wheat). RNAcentral's name for it is "partial small subunit ribosomal RNA". The record is from RNAcentral. Lineage: Eukaryota; Viridiplantae; Streptophyta; Magnoliopsida; Poales; Poaceae.
AUGACCAGUGCCGCUAGAGCCCCACCUCUCAGUGACCAAGGCUCUAUUCCUCCUCCACCCAGAAUAUCACCUACCCUCACUCUGCCUGCAACAAAUCCUCAGCCCAUUCUCGCCACCGCCGUCCAAAACUCUGCUCUCGCUCCAAUGGCGACUUUCCCCUUCGACCCUACGCCAUUUGUGCCGCGAGGUUUCUCUGUGAUUGAAGUGGCUGAUCGUCCGGCUCGCGCUCGUGUGGUCUAUGGCGAUUUCUCGGUAGCUAAUGAAGACCUGGCGAUCGUCACUAUUCUCCCGAUGCCCCUCGAUGAGGUACCUUUUGUCAAUGUCAGAGAUGUUUUAGGGGAUUUUCUCUCCCAAAUCAAGCGUGUGGGUUUCAAGUCUAUCACCCCUUGUCCUUUUGGCCAAGCCUUUGUUCGCUUCAAUAGUGUGGCAGAGAGAGAUCUGCUUGUUGACAGUGGUCCUCAUAGGCAUGAUGAUAUUCACUACGUGCUCCAGAAGCAUAACCAAGGACUUAAUUGGAAAAAAAUUCACCUAGACAGGGAGGUAUGUCUUCUGCUUGUGGGUUUUCCUGCGGAUCUUCGUUGUAUUCAAGAGUUAGCUAAUUUUGUGAGAAGCUUUGGGAAGAUGUCUGUCUGGGAUAGGGUUAAAUCUUCUGAUGCAGCAGUUUUAAUUAAAUUUUAUGUUGAUGCCCUCAAAGAGAUACCUGCCAGCAUUGUGGUCUCUUCUGACAAGAAGGAAGGGGAAUCCUGGACCUGUCAUGUGGUCAUUAUUCAUGACAGUCCUGUUGGAGAGGGCCCUCCAGAAGAAGAUCAUAUUCCUGUUGAUGGGAAUCCACAUCCCAGGCCUGAUGAAGAACACCAUCACCCAAAUCAAAAUAUGGUUAUUGGUCCUUUUUUGGAUGUUCAUAACCACAAUCAAGUUGCAGGCAAUCAGCAGAAUAAUAACAUCCAAGAGGAGGAGCAGGAUGCUAUGUAUGUGGAAUAUGCUGGUUGGGGCCAUUGGGCCAUGCCAAAUGAGGAACAACUUAUAGACCAAGAGCUUCAUGCAGGGGAAUUCCUUGAGCUUAAUGAUUUACUUGCACCAGUCAAUGAAGAAAGUCAGCUGCUGCAACAGGAUCCUGAGGAGAGUGACAUAACUUUAUCUCUGAACAAUGCUGCUAGUUCUGCAGAAUUUUUCACUAAUGGUCCUGCCAAUGUUAUAGCAGAUCUGCUGGCCCCUUUACAGUUGAAUCUCCCAGAUUUGAACCUGGUUGUGCAGGUUCAGGAUAUUCCUUUUGAUCCUAUUGCUGAAGAAGUAAGAGAUCAUGUGCCAGUUUUAGUUCAACAUAUACAAGAUUUUUUUGAUGAACAACAUGUGAAUGUUGAUGUUGCAAUUGCUCCACAAGUCCAUGUUGCAAUUGAAAAUGUAGAUGUUGCAGUGGCUCCUUCAGAUGUUGCAAUUCCAAACACCUUUUCUUCUCUAGCUCAGGAGGUUGAGGUCUCAGAGCUUCAACUUGUUGCUUUGUUGAGGCCUGACACUAGCCAACUUGAUCUCCAUGCUAUUGAUAAUGUCAACAAUCCUGCCUUGCCAGCUGCUGAUUCUACAGAAGCUCAUGACUCCCAGACUGGUCUUCACUUACUUGAACAUGCUCAGCCUGCAACAUUGGUACCUUUUGAUGCUCAGCAGGAGCAGAUUCUGGAGCAGCAUUCUACUUCUGUGUUGAACAAAGUUGUGGCUUUGCAAGAAUUAUCUAACCUGGUCAAGAUCCCAAUUUACUACCAAAAGGAUCAAGGUACUACUCCUUCUGCUCCUCCUGGUUUCCCUCUCCCUAUCUAUCAAGGAAUACAGAAUAAUAUCACAGUUGGAGCAAUGCAAUUUCUGUUUGAUGUAGCUGAUCCAGUUUUUCAAAAGAUGCUGCCUGAUUUGACUGAUUCACAAAUCUUAGGUAAGGAAGGAGCAUCUAUCUGGAAUACUCACUUUGCACCUUCCUUAGACACAGACAAAGUGGUUCAGGUACCCAUUGAAUGGACAAACUUUCUUUCCCUUGCUUUGCUCUCCCCUGAGAAAUUUGAGUAG